RNAcentral lists this ribosomal RNA (498 nucleotides) under uncultured bacterium. RNAcentral describes it as "partial 16S ribosomal RNA". It matches the Rfam family "Bacterial small subunit ribosomal RNA", at positions 30 to 523 of the family's 1533-position model. The record is from RNAcentral.
AUUGAACGCUGGCGGCAUGCUUUACACAUGCAAGUCGAACGGUAACAGGUCUUCGGAUGCUGACGAGUGGCGAACGGGUGAGUAAUACAUCGGAACGUGCCUAGUAGUGGGGGAUAACUACUCGAAAGAGUAGCUAAUACCGCAUGAGAUCUACGGAUGAAAGCAGGAGACCUUCGGGCCUUGUGCUACUAGAGCGGCUGAUGGCAGAUUAGGUAGUUGGUGGGGUAAAGGCUUACCAAGCCUGCGAUCUGUAGCUGGUCUGAGAGGACGACCAGCCACACUGGGACUGGGGCACGGCCCAGACUCCUACGGGAGGCAGCAGUGGGGAAUUUUGGACAAUGGGCGAAAGCCUGAUCCAGCAAUGCCGCGUGCAGGAUGAAGGCCCUCUGGUUGUAAACUGCUUUUGUACGGAACGAAAAGCCUGGGGCUAAUAUCCCCGGGUCAUGACGGCACCGUAAGAAUAAGCACCGGCUAACUACGUGCCAGCCGCCGCAGUAA